Molecule: ribosomal RNA, 874 nt
Filed under: Lophiostoma clematidis-subumbellatae
Lineage: Eukaryota; Fungi; Ascomycota; Dothideomycetes; Pleosporales; Lophiostomataceae
Description: SSU rRNA
Rfam family: Eukaryotic small subunit ribosomal RNA
Source: RNAcentral
AAGGGUGUAUUUAUUAGAUAAAAAACCCAAUGCCCUUUGGGCUCUUUGGUGAUUCAUGAUAACUUAACGGAUCGCAUGGCCUUGCGCCGGCGACGGUUCAUUCAAAUUUCUGCCCUAUCAACUUUCGAUGGUAAGGUAUUGGCUUACCAUGGUUUCAACGGGUAACGGGGAAUUAGGGUUCGAUUCCGGAGAGGGAGCCUGAGAAACGGCUACCACAUCCAAGGAAGGCAGCAGGCGCGCAAAUUACCCAAUCCCGACACGGGGAGGUAGUGACAAUAAAUACUGAUACAGGGCUCUUUUGGGUCUUGUAAUCGGAAUGAGUACAAUUUAAACCUCUUAACGAGGAACAAUUGGAGGGCAAGUCUGGUGCCAGCAGCCGCGGUAAUUCCAGCUCCAAUAGCGUAUAUUAAAGUUGUUGCAGUUAAAAAGCUCGUAGUUGAAUCUUGGGCCUGGCUGGCCGGUCCGCCUCACCGCGUGUACUGGUCUGGCCGGGCCUUUCCUUCUGGAGAACCUCAUGCCCUUCAGUGGGUGUGUUGGGGAACCAGGACUUUUACUUUGAAAAAAUUAGAGUGUUCAAAGCAGGCCUUUGCUCGAAUACGUUAGCAUGGAAUAAUAGAAUAGGACGUGCGGUCCUAUUUUGUUGGUUUCUAGGACCGCCGUAAUGAUUAAUAGGGAUAGUCGGGGGCAUCAGUAUUCAAUUGUCAGAGGUGAAAUUCUUGGAUUUAUUGAAGACUAACUACUGCGAAAGCAUUUGCCAAGGAUGUUUUCAUUAAUCAGUGAACGAAAGUUAGGGGAUCGAAGACGAUCAGAUACCGUCGUAGUCUUAACCGUAAACUAUGCCGACUAGGGAUCGGGCGAUGUUUUUAUCUUGACU